UACGUAGGUGACAAGCGUUGUCCGGAUUUACUGGGCGUAAAGGGCGCGCAGGCGGUCGAUCAAGUCGAGUGUGAAAGCCCCCGGCUCAACUGGGGAGGGUCAUUCGAUACUGAUCGACUCGAAGGCAGGAGAGGGUAGUGGAAUUCCCGGUGUAGUGGUGAAAUGCGUAGAUAUCGAUAGGAACUCCGGUGGCGAAGGCGGCACACUGGACCACAACUGACGCUGAGGCGACGGAAAGCCAGGGAGCAAACGGG
This 254-nucleotide ribosomal RNA is filed under the name uncultured bacterium. RNAcentral describes it as "partial 16S ribosomal RNA". It matches the Rfam family "Bacterial small subunit ribosomal RNA", at positions 524 to 776 of the family's 1533-position model. The record is from RNAcentral.